This 253-nucleotide ribosomal RNA is filed under the name uncultured bacterium. RNAcentral's name for it is "partial 16S ribosomal RNA". It matches the Rfam family "Bacterial small subunit ribosomal RNA", at positions 524 to 776 of the family's 1533-position model. The record is from RNAcentral.
UACGGAGGAUGCAAGCGUUAUCCGGAAUUAUUGGGCGUAAAGCGUCCGCAGGUGGCACUUCAAGUCUGUCGUCAAAGACCGGGGCUUAACCCUGGAAAGGCGAUGGAAACUGAAAGGCUAGAGAGAGGUAGGGGUGGAGAGAAUUCCCAGUGUAGCGGUGAAAUGCGUAGAGAUUGGGAAGAACAUCGGUGGCGAAAGCGCUCUACUGGACCUCAUCUGACACUCAGGGACGAAAGCUAGGGGAGCGAAUGGG